UGGGGAAUAUUGCGCAAUGGGGGGAACCCUGACGCUGCCAUGUCGCGUGAAUGAAGAAGGCCUUCGGGUUGUAAAGUUCUUUCGGUAUUGAGGAAGGUUGAUGUGUUAAUAGCACAUCAAAUUGACGUUAAAUACAAAAGAAGCACCGGCUAACUCCGUGCCAGCAGCCGCGGUAAUACGGAGGGUGCGAGCGUUAAUCGGAAUAACUGGGCGUAAAGGGCACGCAGGCGGUUAUUUAAGUGAGGUGUGAAAGCCCCGGGCUUAACCUGGGAAUUGCAUUUCAGACUGGGUAACUAGAGUACUUUAGGGAGGGGUAGAAUUCCACGUGUAGCGGUGAAAUGCGUAGAGAUGUGGAGGAAUACCGAAGGCGAAGGCAGCCCCUUGGGAAUGUACUGACGCUCAUGUGCGAAAGCGUGGGGAGCAAACAGGAUUAGAUACCCUGGUAGUCCACGCUGUAAACGCUGUCGAUUUGGGGGUUGGGGUUUAACUCUGGCGCCCGUAGCUAACGUGAUAAAUCGACCGCCUGGGGAGUACGGCCGCAAGGUUA
RNAcentral lists this ribosomal RNA (547 nucleotides) under uncultured bacterium. Its description in RNAcentral is "bacterial SSU rRNA". It matches the Rfam family "Bacterial small subunit ribosomal RNA", at positions 355 to 896 of the family's 1533-position model. The record is from RNAcentral.